AUGGCAGGGGGCCCUGAGGUCACCCUCCCGGGUGCGGUGAGGGAGGAGGGGACCACGAGCCCAUCCCUUCUUUGAGAGGCCCUCCAGCCACCACCAUCCCAUGCCCCUAUGGUGGCCCCUGGGCUGGCCCAUGGCCGCAGGCCUCACAGCUGCUGCCACUGAUGGGUCAGAGCCACCCUGCAAACUUGGGAGGCAUGGGGAGGUGGCCUCUGGCUCCAGGGCAGGGCUGCAGGGGCAGGCGGGCUGUGAAGCACCCAAGGCUGCGGCACCGCGGAGAGACUGGCACGGCUGAGCGCCCACAAGUGCUCCCAAGUUCACGAGUGGCUGUGGCAGUCCUACUGCGGCUACCUCACCUGGCGCAGCAUCCCGGCUGCCUUCCCCACCUACUGCAGCCCCCAACCAUCCCCACGGAGCUUCCCUUUGGGCAGCGCUGCUGUCCCCCAGGCCACAGGCCUAACCUGGGAACAGCUGCUGGCAUCAGCACCCCGGCUCAAGUCGUGGGCCUGGGACCCCAGGCUCCUCAUGUGCAGGCAUCAGUCUGGGUCACUCCAGUGACAAAGGUAGGAUCCAUAGCCCCUUCGGGAAGCCCGAGCGAGACCAGGUGACAGGCAGGCAGAUAAUAUGUUAUUCUAUCCUUGGCCCACAGAUUUAUGGUAGAGAUAGUGGAUUUCUUUAUUCUCUUCUUUGUAAAAGCAACCAUUAUCUUAAGCAUUAUGCACCUCAGUGGGAUAAAGGAUAUUUCUAAGUUUGCUAUGCAUUAUACAAUAGAAGAAAUGAAUGAAGACACAUCACUGGAAGACUUGCAGAAAAUGAUGGUUGUGGCUCUUUUAUACAGAUUAUUAAUUUGUUUCUAUGAGAUAAUUUGCAUUUGGGGAGCAGGUGGAGCUACCCCAGGGAAGUUCCUGCUGGGCCUUUGAGUUGAGACAUGUGAUACAUUAGUGCUUAUUGCACCAAGUCAGGUUUUAGUGAUGCCUUCCUCAAAUGUUAGCAUUACAACGAGCUUUGAUCAAGAAUUUUUUGAUUGCUUCUUUUUUUCCCUGCUUAUAUCACACUGCUGUUUUUUCAGCAUAAUUGAACAGCCUAUGACACUGUAGCAGGAACCAUUGUGGUAAAAAGAAAUGGGGUCAGAUGA
This 1132-nucleotide long non-coding RNA is filed under the name Homo sapiens (human). RNAcentral's name for it is "long non-coding RNA NONHSAT117151". The record is from RNAcentral. Lineage: Eukaryota; Metazoa; Chordata; Mammalia; Primates; Hominidae.